UACGUAGGGUGCGAGCGUUGUCCGGAAUUAUUGGGCGUAAAGAGCUCGUAGGUGGUUUGUCGCGUUGUUCGUGAAAACUCACAGCUCAACUGUGGGCGUGCGGGCGAUACGGGCAGACUUGAGUGCUGCAGGGGAGACUGGAAUUCCUGGUGUAGCGGUGGAAUGCGCAGAUAUCAGGAGGAACACCGGUGGCGAAGGCGGGUCUCUGGGCAGUAACUGACGCUGAGGAGCGAAAGCGUGGGGAGCGAACAGG
Molecule: ribosomal RNA, 253 nt
Filed under: uncultured bacterium
Lineage: Bacteria
Description: partial 16S ribosomal RNA
Rfam family: Bacterial small subunit ribosomal RNA
Source: RNAcentral